Hemicordylus capensis (graceful crag lizard) is the source of this 1741-nucleotide long non-coding RNA. RefSeq lists it as uncharacterized. The record is from RefSeq and is a predicted model, not a curated record. The transcript has 3 exons. Lineage: Eukaryota; Metazoa; Chordata; Lepidosauria; Squamata; Cordylidae.
AACUUCUUCUUUGCCAUUUAAAAGAAACUCCAAGGCUGAUGACAGACAGCAUUAAACACCAUAAAAACAGCAGAUGGUGGUGGUGGUGGGCACCUUGCUGGCUUUCCUUUCUCCUCCUCACAGGCAGUGAGGAAGAAAUGGCUUCCUGGACAGACCAAGAAUAGCUGAAGUAGAUUCUUUUUAAGCUGGACUCUUUGACUACUCUGAAAGCGAGAAACUGGAUCCACAUGCUGGAGAAUGAAAGAAGGGCAUGAACUGAACCAAACUGGAGGCAGUUUAUGCAGAAUGAUGUCAGUUUGUCACAUGCAAGCCAGCCAGUUUCUUAAUCGGCAAAACAGUUGAAAAGCAUACUACGUACUACUUUUUAUCUGUGCAUGAACAGUACAAAAACGUUUGGAAAGAGGAAGAAAACCAAGCCCAGGCCCAAUAUGCACUUGCAUGAUAAGUGGUGUUUACACUGACUUCCUCAGUAUGAAAGAUGUGUUAUCACUUCUCUGGGCCUGCCCUCAGCAGGUUGCAUCUGAAAUACACAAGUUGAUAAAAUCUCGGGAAAAGUUAACCUGUUUGAGUUAUGACCUUAAUGUUGUAAGUGUUAAUGGUGUAGCCUUAUUAAAAUGAUCACAGUCUGCAGGGUUAACAUUUUUGAGACAGAACGUAUGGAUCGGCUUCAGCUGCCACAGUGAAAACUGUCAUUUGGGUCACAGAGCAGAUCUCCUGUGGUGUCCUCCUCACAUGCCUCAAUGCCAUCCGGCUCUAAGGGAGCCAGCUAGUUGUACUCCUGCCUUUUCACUCGCAGACUGAUAAACAGCUCUUAGGAUGACAAGGAAGGGGAGUUGCUACCUGGGGAACCUGUGCUUUGGGUGAGGUUGGGUUCCAGGAUCCUCCACAAAAGCAUAAUUUAUCGUCCCACAGCAGUGCUGAAUCCUGUGAAUUGGGUCAAAACAAAGGGAUCCAUUUAUCUGUCAGUUGCAAAGACAAAACAUUUGCCAGGAUCUAGCAGGCUAAGCAGGUGCUACCUGCCAAAGAAUCAGUCUAUUUGUGUGAGGGCAGGAGAGGAUAAAAACAGAAGUCAAGAAAAGUAGUCAGUCAUUCUUGGGAAUGGUGUGCAAGUGUCCAGGUUACUGGCAUUAUGUUCAGGACUGAGUGUCUCCCAGAGGCAUCAGGUUUAUGUAGGGUUCUCUGCCAAUCACACAGGCGACCUGGGAACCAAUCAAGGUCUGAGGACUAUGGACUUUGACAGGCAGCACAGUUGAAUGCAUGUAGGCUCUGUUCAGAUUUUCGGUUGAAUGCAAGGAGGUUGGGAGUAGGUUCAGUGAAUGCAGCACUGUUCAUACCCUUCACACAUUUGAACACAUAAACAAGGGUGUAGCUAUAAUUGAACACGGGAGGGACAAAUGUGGCAGAGGGGUCCGCUGCCCGUUUAACCACCCACUCUUUGUUCUCCCCUCCUGCCUCCCUGACUCAGUUGCAAGCUGCUGGCUUCUGACUGGAAUGUGGAGAGUGUACAGUAUUGUUUGUGUGAAAGGACCUGAAAUGCAAUCCAGAGUGGUUAAGGCUUUGUUGGUAUUAAUUGUUAAUAUGGCACUGUCAGUUUAAAAAGGAGAGCCUAGUGAAACUCUGGGAAAAGGAAGGGGGAAACCUCAGAAUAGUUCUAGGGUUGGCCCUACACAGAGAGCAACAAGCUUGUAAAAGUAUCUUCUGAGUUGUGAAGCAAUAAAGGUUUGGUUUUUUUCACCAUCUC